RNAcentral lists this ribosomal RNA (253 nucleotides) under uncultured bacterium. RNAcentral describes it as "partial 16S ribosomal RNA". It matches the Rfam family "Bacterial small subunit ribosomal RNA", at positions 524 to 776 of the family's 1533-position model. The record is from RNAcentral.
UACGUAGGCAGCAAGCGUUGUUCGGAAUUACUGGGCUUAAAGCGCACGUAGGCGGCGCCGCAAGUGUGGGGUGAAAGCCCACGGCUUACCCGUGGAAUUGCCUGGCAGACUGCGGUGCUAGAGGAUGGUAGGGGAGAGCGGAACUCCUGGUGGAGCGGUGAAAUGCGUAGAUAUCAGGAGGAACACCGGUGGCGAAGGCGGCUCUCUGGUCCAUUUCUGACGCUGAGGUGCGAAAGCUAGGGGAGCAAACGGG